AACGAACGCUGGCGGCAUGCCUAACACAUGCAAGUCGAACGAGACCUUCGGGUCUAGUGGCGCACGGGUGCGUAACGCGUGGGAACCUGCCCUUAGGUUCGGAAUAACUAUCCGAAAGGGAUGCCAACACCGGAUAAUGUCUUCGGACGAAAGAUUUAUCGCCAUUGGAUGGGCCCGCGUUGGAGUAGCUGGUUGGUAGGGUCAAAGCCUACCAAGGCGACGAUUCAUAGCUGGUACGAGAGGAUGAUCAGCCACACUGAGACUAAGACACGGCCCAGACUCCUCCGUGAGGCCGCAAUGGGGAAUGUUGGACAGUGGGGGAAAGCCUGACCCAGCUAUGACGCGUGAGUGAUGAAGGCCUUAAGGUUGUAAAGCUCUUUUACCCGGGAUGCUAAUGACCGUACCGGGAGAAAAAGCUACGGCUAGCUCCGUG
Molecule: ribosomal RNA, 433 nt
Filed under: uncultured bacterium
Lineage: Bacteria
Description: partial 16S ribosomal RNA
Rfam family: Bacterial small subunit ribosomal RNA
Source: RNAcentral